GAAGUUUUCAAAAUCAGACAAUCCCCAAAAGCGUCCGGCUGAAGACCGGAAGGUCGAGGGUUCAAAUCCCUCCCCCGGCA
Molecule: transfer RNA, 80 nt
Filed under: Thermofilum sp. ex4484_82
Lineage: Archaea; Thermoproteati; Thermoproteota; Thermoprotei; Thermofilales; Thermofilaceae
Also listed under: 1 other name
Description: tRNA-Phe
Rfam family: tRNA
About the family: Transfer RNA (tRNA) molecules are approximately 80 nucleotides in length. Their secondary structure includes four short double-helical elements and three loops (D, anti-codon, and T loops).
Source: RNAcentral